CCAACGGCCCUCUUUAGGGCCACAAUUGCGACAAAUACGAAUCUA
Heligmosomoides polygyrus is the source of this 45-nucleotide non-coding RNA. The record is from Rfam. NCBI's taxonomy places the organism in Eukaryota, Metazoa, Nematoda, Chromadorea, Rhabditida, Heligmosomidae.